UACGAAGGCAGCAGUGGGGAAUAUUGCACAAUGGGCGAAAGCCUGAUGCAGCUAUGCCGCGUGUAUGAAGAAGGCCUUAGGGUUGUAAAGUACUUUCAUCGGGGAGGAAAAACAAAACUAAUAAUUUUAUUUCUUGACGUUACCCGAAAAAGAAGCACCGGCUAACUCCGUGCCAGCAGCCGCGGUAAUACGGAGGGUGCUAGCGUUAAUCAGAAUUACUGGGCGUAAAGAGCACGUAGGUGGUUUUUUUAAGUCAGAUGUGAAAUCCCUGGGCUUAACCUAGGAACUGCAUUUUGAAACUGAAAUACUAGAGUAUCGUAGAGGGAGGUAGAAUUCUAGGUGUAGCGGUGAAAUGCGUAGAUAUCUGGAGGAAUACCUGUGGCGAAAGCGGCCUCCUAAACGAAUACUGACACUGAGGUGCGAAAGCGUGGGGAGCAAACAGGGAUUAGAUACC
RNAcentral lists this ribosomal RNA (454 nucleotides) under uncultured bacterium. RNAcentral's name for it is "bacterial SSU rRNA". It matches the Rfam family "Bacterial small subunit ribosomal RNA", at positions 340 to 786 of the family's 1533-position model. The record is from RNAcentral.